RNAcentral lists this ribosomal RNA (253 nucleotides) under uncultured bacterium. RNAcentral's name for it is "partial 16S ribosomal RNA". It matches the Rfam family "Bacterial small subunit ribosomal RNA", at positions 524 to 776 of the family's 1533-position model. The record is from RNAcentral.
UACGUAGGGUGCGAGCGUUGUCCGGAAUUAUUGGGCGUAAAGAGCUCGUAGGCGGUCUGUCGCGUCUGCUGUGAAAACUCGGGGCUUAACCCCGGGCCUGCAGUGGGUACGGGCAGACUAGAGUGCGGUAGGGGAGACUGGAAUUCCUGGUGUAGCGGUGAAAUGCGCAGAUAUCAGGAGGAACACCGGUGGCGAAGGCGGGUCUCUGGGCCGAUACUGACGCUGAGGAGCGAAAGCGUGGGGAGCGAACAGG